Molecule: ribosomal RNA, 253 nt
Filed under: uncultured bacterium
Lineage: Bacteria
Description: partial 16S ribosomal RNA
Rfam family: Bacterial small subunit ribosomal RNA
Source: RNAcentral
UACGGAGGGUGCAAGCGUUAUCCGGAUUCACUGGGUUUAAAGGGUGCGUAGGUGGGCAGGUAAGUCAGUGGUGAAAUCUCCGGGCUUAACUCGGAAACUGCCAUUGAUACUAUCUGUCUUGGAUACCGUGGAGGUCAGCGGAAUAUGUCCUGUAGCGGUGAAAUGCUUAGAUAUGACAUAGAACACCAAUUGCGAAGGCAGCUGGCUACACGAAUAUUGACACUGAUGCACGAAAGCGUGGGGAUCAAACAGG